CCUAAAGGGCAAAAAGUUAUGCCACGCCCCGCGUCCUGGUUUCUGUUUUUCUGCUUGUGUUUUCCUUUGCUUAUGGAGCCGAAUCGUUUCCGGUACAACAGACUUUGACAGUUACUAUCUCAGCUGACAGUGGACCAUCCAAGUAUCUGAAUUCAGACCAUCUGCCACAGCAGUUGAUAUUACUGGGACAAUGAACUGAAAGCUCUUUUUGUCCACAUGACUGUUGACAAGAUACACAAAAUAUUCGAUCUAUUGCUAGAAAUGUACUUUCAGCCACAAACCUAUGAAACAUUAUGAAGCAUUUACAUUUGGAAAGACCACACAAGGACCAAAUGAAACAUUAGGCAUAUGUUCCACAAGGCUCAAGUUUUGUUUUUUUUUUUGUCAAGGAGCUGUUAUAUGAUAGAUAUUUAUUCAUAAAUCAAAACACAUAUUAUCUAGAACUGUCACUCAGGAAAGGUCGGAUGAAACUUUUAGAAGAUCAAGCAUGAGCAUCAGAGAAUUGUGUACCAGGAAAAGAAAAGACAUUUCAGUGAUUAAAAUAUUGACUGAAUGUGCAAAUGUAAAUAUGCACACACAUAUGCAUACAUGACAACUGUUCAAUAAAGCAUGUAUGAAUUGUAAAAA
This is a long non-coding RNA of Protopterus annectens (West African lungfish), 627 nucleotides long. RefSeq lists it as uncharacterized. The record is from RefSeq and is a predicted model, not a curated record. The transcript is spliced from 2 exons. Lineage: Eukaryota; Metazoa; Chordata; Ceratodontiformes; Protopteridae.